Molecule: ribosomal RNA, 2918 nt
Filed under: Aeromonas veronii Hm21
Lineage: Bacteria; Pseudomonadati; Pseudomonadota; Gammaproteobacteria; Aeromonadales; Aeromonadaceae
Description: 23S ribosomal RNA
Rfam family: Bacterial large subunit ribosomal RNA
Source: RNAcentral
GUUGUAUGGUUAAGUGACUAAGCGUACAUGGUGGAUGCCUUGGCAGUCAGAGGCGAUGAAGGACGUACUAACCUGCGAUAAGCUGUGAGAAGUCGGUAAGAGACGCUAUUACUCACAGAUUUCCGAAUGGGGAAACCCACCCGAGAUAACUCGGGUAUCUGUUACUGAAUACAUAGGUAACAGAGGCGAACCGGGAGAACUGAAACAUCUAAGUACCCGAGGAAAAGAAAUCAACCGAGAUUCCCUCAGUAGCGGCGAGCGAACGGGGAUUAGCCCUUAAGCAUCUUGGAAGUUAGUGGAACGGUCCUGGAAAGGCCGGCGAUACAGGGUGAUAGCCCCGUACACGAAAACAACCUUGAUGUGAAAUCGAGUAGGGCGGGACACGUGACAUCCUGUCUGAAUAUGGGGGGACCAUCCUCCAAGGCUAAAUACUCCUGACUGACCGAUAGUGAACCAGUACCGUGAGGGAAAGGCGAAAAGAACCCCUGUGAGGGGAGUGAAAUAGAACCUGAAACCGUGUACGUACAAGCAGUGGGAGCCCUUCGGGGUGACUGCGUACCUUUUGUAUAAUGGGUCAGCGACUUACAUUUUGUAGCGAGGUUAACCGUAUAGGGGAGCCGUAGGGAAACCGAGUCUUAACUGGGCGUCUAGUUGCAAGGUGUAGACCCGAAACCGGGUGAUCUAGCCAUGGGCAGGUUGAAGGUUGAGUAACAUCAACUGGAGGACCGAACCCACUAACGUUGCAAAGUUAGGGGAUGACCUGUGGCUGGGGGUGAAAGGCCAAUCAAACUCGGAGAUAGCUGGUUCUCCCCGAAAGCUAUUUAGGUAGCGCCUCGGACGAAUACUACUGGGGGUAGAGCACUGUUUGGGCUAGGGGGUCAUCCCGACUUACCAACCCCAUGCAAACUCCGAAUACCAGUAAGUAAUAUCCGGGAGACACACGGCGGGUGCUAACGUCCGUCGUGAAGAGGGAAACAACCCAGACCGCCGGCUAAGGUCCCAAAGUUCUGGUUAAGUGGGAAACGAUGUGGGAAGGCUCAGACAGCUAGGAUGUUGGCUUAGAAGCAGCCAUCAUUUAAAGAAAGCGUAAUAGCUCACUAGUCGAGUCGGCCUGCGCGGAAGAUGUAACGGGGCUCAAACCAGGCACCGAAGCCGCGGAUUCACACUUAUGUGUGAGUGGUAGGGGAGCGUUCUGUAAGUCUGCGAAGGUGUAUCGAGAGGUAUGCUGGAGAUAUCAGAAGUGCGAAUGCUGACGUAAGUAACGAUAAAGGGGGUGAAAAGCCUCCUCGCCGGAAGACCAAGGGUUCCUGUCCAACGUUAAUCGGGGCAGGGUGAGUCGACCCCUAAGGCGAGGCCGAAAGGCGUAGUCGAUGGGAAGCAGGUUAAUAUUCCUGCACGACUUGUAAUUGCGAUGGGGGGACGGAGAAGGCUAGGUGGGCCAGGCGACGGUUGUCCUGGUGAAAGUGCGUAGGUGGUGUUUCUAGGCAAAUCCGGAGACACAACACUGAGACACGAGACGAACACACUACGGUGUGGAAGCCAUUGAUGCCCUGCUUCCAGGAAAAGCCUCUAAGCUUCAGAUUACAAGUCAUCGUACCCCAAACCGACACAGGUGGUCGGGUAGAGAAUACCAAGGCGCUUGAGAGAACUCGGGUGAAGGAACUAGGCAAAAUAGAACCGUAACUUCGGGAGAAGGUUCGCUCUUGACAGUGAAGUCCCUUGCGGAUGGAGCAGUUGGGAGUCGCAGUGACCAGAUGGCUGGGACUGUUUAUCAAAAACACAGCACUCUGCAAACACGAAAGUGGACGUAUAGGGUGUGACACCUGCCCGGUGCCGGAAGGUUAAUUGAUGGGGUUAGCGCAAGCGAAGCUCUUGAUCGAAGCCCCGGUAAACGGCGGCCGUAACUAUAACGGUCCUAAGGUAGCGAAAUUCCUUGUCGGGUAAGUUCCGACCUGCACGAAUGGUGUAACCAUGGCCAUGCUGUCUCCACCCGAGACUCAGUGAAAUCGAAUUCGCCGUGAAGAUGCGGUGUACCCGCGGCUAGACGGAAAGACCCCGUGAACCUUUACUACAGCUUGGCACUGAACAUUGAACCUACAUGUGUAGGAUAGGUGGGAGGCUUUGAAGGCGUGACGCCAGUUGCGCUGGAGCCGUCCUUGAAAUACCACCCUUGUAUGUUUGAUGUUCUAACGCAGGGCCCUGAAUCGGGCUCGCGGACAGUGCCUGGUGGGUAGUUUGACUGGGGCGGUCUCCUCCCAAAGAGUAACGGAGGAGCACGAAGGUUGGCUAAUCCUGGUCGGACAUCAGGAGGUUAGUGCAAUGGCAUAAGCCAGCUUAACUGCGAGACGGACAGGUCGAGCAGGUACGAAAGUAGGUCAUAGUGAUCCGGUGGUUCUGAAUGGAAGGGCCAUCGCUCAACGGAUAAAAGGUACUCCGGGGAUAACAGGCUGAUACCGCCCAAGAGUUCAUAUCGACGGCGGUGUUUGGCACCUCGAUGUCGGCUCAUCACAUCCUGGGGCUGAAGUCGGUCCCAAGGGUAUGGCUGUUCGCCAUUUAAAGUGGUACGCGAGCUGGGUUCAGAACGUCGUGAGACAGUUCGGUCCCUAUCUGCCGUGGGCGUUGGAUGAUUGAAGGGAGUUGCUCCUAGUACGAGAGGACCGGAGUGAACGAACCUCUGGUGUUCGGGUUGUCACGCCAGUGGCACUGCCCGGUAGCUAAGUUCGGAAUCGAUAACCGCUGAAAGCAUCUAAGCGGGAAGCGAGCCCUGAGAUGAGUCAUCCCUGACCCCUUGAGGGUCCUAAAGGGCCGUUGGAGACCACAACGUUGAUAGGUGGGGUGUGUAAGCGCGGCGACGUGUUGAGCUAACCCAUACUAAUUACCCGUGAGGCUUAACCAUACAACACCCAAGAAGUGUUCUG